This is a long non-coding RNA of Orussus abietinus, 675 nucleotides long. RefSeq lists it as uncharacterized. The transcript is spliced from 3 exons. The record is from RefSeq and is a predicted model, not a curated record. Lineage: Eukaryota; Metazoa; Arthropoda; Insecta; Hymenoptera; Orussidae.
CGAAGGCAAACGGAAGGCAAGCCGAAAAUUCAUAAAAAAAGAUAUCCCGGGGUCGAAGAAAAAAUUUAAGAGGAGGAAGAGGCUCUACAGAGAUACGGAGAAAAUCAGCGGAUUUAAAUCCUGAGCAAGGCAUGGACGGAAUGCGGAAGAAAUGGCCCAGGGAUCGCGUUACGACCUUCUUCCGGGUACUACUCCGGAUAGCGAAGGGUCAGAGGGAGGUGUCCAUGUCGCAACUCGGUUACAAAUGGUCUCGCAACGGGAAGUGAGAGAGGUCGGCUCGUGAAAUGGAAGGAGGCACCGAGACCGAAAGAAUCGCCGGAGAUGGAUGGCGGCUCUAUGACUCCUCUUUAUGACUCCUUGCGAAAGGGGUGCCGCGCUGAAUAACUCCGGCUCUUCCUUCGCCGGAAGAUGAAUGAACGAGUUUCGCGGCUGCGAGCAUCGGCCUUAUCAAAGGCGACAUUUCCGGAGACGAAGAAAUCGCUUGGAAGAAUGAGCCGCCUUGCGAAAAGGGGUGACACAAUGAACGACUGCGAACUCCUCGUUCGGAUGGCGAAGAGAGUUUCGUGACGACUCACCAGAAGGAGGAGAAAUCCGGAAUUCAUGCCGGGAUUUAGAAGACGAAGAAGCGGAAAGCUGCUUCAGGGUCCGACCCCGAAGAGGAGCUCUCAUUCCGGG